This is a long non-coding RNA of Temnothorax curvispinosus, 160 nucleotides long. RefSeq lists it as uncharacterized. The transcript is spliced from 2 exons. The record is from RefSeq and is a predicted model, not a curated record. Lineage: Eukaryota; Metazoa; Arthropoda; Insecta; Hymenoptera; Formicidae.
CCUUGCAGGUCCGGUCCUCAGAGGUAUCUUCGAUAAAGCCUUCGAACAUGCGGGCCAAAUUGCGACCGUAGUUGCAGAUGCAACUCCUGAAGGAUUUGCAGCUAAUGUCGCUGCAGGUAUUGUUGCAUCACACCUUUACGACUACAUAAAGGCAGCCGAA